Molecule: non-coding RNA, 198 nt
Organism: Delphinapterus leucas (beluga whale)
Lineage: Eukaryota; Metazoa; Chordata; Mammalia; Artiodactyla; Monodontidae
Source: RefSeq, a predicted model, not a curated record
UCAGGAAUACAAAAAAGAUGUGAUCACAAGAGUGAAAAAGAGAGUCUUUACUUCUGUUUGAGCAGUUUGAACAGAGAAUAUGGGCCUGGACUAAAAAAAAUGCAAAGGGGGGCUAGGGAAAGAGUCUAUCUUCCAUAGCUUCAAAAAAUGAGUCUAAAAAUUUAAUCUGUUUCUCUGGCUAGGACUUCCAGUACUAUG